This 63-nucleotide transfer RNA is filed under the name Ictidomys tridecemlineatus (thirteen-lined ground squirrel). RNAcentral's name for it is "Spermophilus tridecemlineatus (thirteen-lined ground squirrel) tRNA". It matches the Rfam family "tRNA", at positions 5 to 66 of the family's 71-position model. Rfam says of the family: Transfer RNA (tRNA) molecules are approximately 80 nucleotides in length. Their secondary structure includes four short double-helical elements and three loops (D, anti-codon, and T loops). Further hydrogen bonds mediate the characteristic L-shaped molecular structure. tRNAs have two regions of fundamental functional importance: the anti-codon, which is responsible for specific mRNA codon recognition, and the 3' end, to which the tRNAs corresponding amino acid is attached (by aminoacyl-tRNA synthetases). tRNAs cope with the degeneracy of the genetic code in two manners: having more than one tRNA (with a specific anti-codon) for a particular amino acid; and 'wobble' base-pairing, i.e. permitting non-standard base-pairing at the 3rd anti-codon position. The record is from Rfam by way of RNAcentral. Lineage: Eukaryota; Metazoa; Chordata; Mammalia; Rodentia; Sciuridae.
AUGUAAUUCAGUGGUAGAGUACUUGCCUAGCAUGCAUGAGGCUCUGGGUUCAAUUCCUAGUAU